Molecule: ribosomal RNA, 253 nt
Filed under: uncultured bacterium
Lineage: Bacteria
Description: partial 16S ribosomal RNA
Rfam family: Bacterial small subunit ribosomal RNA
Source: RNAcentral
CACGUAGGGCGCAAGCGUUGUCCGGAAUUAUUGGGCGUAAAGAGCUCGUAGGCGGUCUGUUGCGUCCGCUGUGAAAACUCGGGGCUUAACCCCGAGCCUGCAGUGGAUACGGGCAGACUAGAGGUAGGUAGGGGAGAAUGGAAUUCCCGGUGUAGCGGUGAAAUGCGCAGAUAUCGGGAGGAACACCGGUGGCGAAGGCGGUUCUCUGGGCCGAUACUGACGCUGAGGAGCGAAAGCGUGGGGAGCAAACGGG